RNAcentral lists this ribosomal RNA (494 nucleotides) under uncultured bacterium. RNAcentral describes it as "partial 16S ribosomal RNA". It matches the Rfam family "Bacterial small subunit ribosomal RNA", at positions 28 to 507 of the family's 1533-position model. The record is from RNAcentral.
GACGAACGCUGGCGGCGUGCUUAACACAUGCAAGUCGAACGGAAAGGCCUGCUUUCCCUUGUGGAUUGCGGGUACUCGAGUGGCGAACGGGUGAGUAACACGUGAGUGAUCUGCCCCCAACUUGGGUAUAAGCCUGGGAAACUGGGUCUAAUUCCCGAUAGGACUGCAGGGUGGUGCCUGUGGUGGAAAACGAUUUUCUAGUGGUUGGGGAUGAGCUCGCGGCCUAUCAGCUUGUUGGUGGGGUAAUGGCCUACCAAGGCGGCGACGGGUAGCCGGCCUGAGAGGGUGGACGGCCACAUUGGGACUGGGAUACGGCCCAGACUCCUACGGGAGGCAGCAGUUGGGAAUAUUGCACAAUGGGCGGAAGCCUGAUGCAGCGACGCCGCGUGGGGGAUGACGGCCUUCGGGUUGUAAACUCCUUUCGACCGCGAGGAAGCCACCUGGUUGGAAGGGUGGUGACGGUAGUGGUAGAAGAAGCACCGGCUAACUACGUG